GAUGAACGCUGGCGGCGUGCCUAAUACAUGCAAGUCGAGCGAACAGACGAGGAGCUUGCUCCUUUGACGUUAUCGGCGGACGGGUGAGUAACACGUGGGUAACCUACCUAUACGACUGGGAUAACUUCGGGAAACCGGAGCUACUACCGGAAAAUAUUUCGCACCGCAUGGUUCGAUAGUUAAAGAUGGCUCUGCUAUCACUAAUAGCUUAACCUGCGCCGUAUUAGCUAGUUGGUUAGGUAACGGCUUACCAAGGCAACGAUGCUUAGCCGACCGCAGAGGGUGAUCGGCCACACGGGAACUGAGACAGGGUCCAGACUCCUAGGGGAGGCAGCAGUAGGGAAUCUUACGGAAUGGACGAGUGCCUGACGGAGGAACGCCGCGGGAGUGAUGAAGGUCUUCGGAUCGGAAAACUCUGUUAUUAGGGAAGAACAAACGUGUAAGUAACUGUGCACGUCUUGACAGUACCUAAUCAGAAAGCCACGGCUAACUACGUG
RNAcentral lists this ribosomal RNA (497 nucleotides) under uncultured bacterium. RNAcentral describes it as "partial 16S ribosomal RNA". It matches the Rfam family "Bacterial small subunit ribosomal RNA", at positions 28 to 507 of the family's 1533-position model. The record is from RNAcentral.